RNAcentral lists this ribosomal RNA (406 nucleotides) under uncultured bacterium. RNAcentral's name for it is "bacterial SSU rRNA". It matches the Rfam family "Bacterial small subunit ribosomal RNA", at positions 976 to 1381 of the family's 1533-position model. The record is from RNAcentral.
UGGGCUUGACAUCCCGGGAAUUCCAUGGAAACAUGGAAGUGCCCUUCGGGGAACCUGGAGACAGGUGCUGCAUGGCUGUCGUCAGCUCGUGUCGUGAGAUGUUGGGUUAAGUCCCGCAACGAGCGCAACCCUCAUCCUUAGUUGCCAUCAUUAAGUUGGGCACUCUAAGGAAACUGCCGGUGUUAAACCGGAGGAAGGUGGGGAUGACGUCAAGUCCUCAUGGCCCUUAUGUCCAGGGCUACACACGUGCUACAAUGGCCGGAACAAUGGGUCGCAAUCCCGCGAGGGGGAGCUAAUCCCAAAAAGCCGGUCUUAGUUCGGAUUGGAGUCUGCAACCCGACUCCAUGAAGCUGGAAUCGCUAGUAAUCGCGUAUCAGCAUGACGCGGUGAAUACGUUCCCGGGCCU